UUGGAUGGUAUUCCUGGAUACUGCAUCAAGCAAAUUGUAGUUCUUCCUCUUCUCUGGGGUCCAUUUUCCAGGUUCAAUCCUGCAUGCACAAGGUAAUUUAAUUAUAUUACUAUUGUAAUACCCAUGAUUUCAACUUUACAAGUUCAAUUUUUAAUAUUCCAGGAUAAUACUCAUAAUUAAAGGUACUCACGCAACAGCGAAGAAGGAGUAUCCGGCCAAGUGAAAAGAUUGUACACUCUUUUCAUGGUUCUCAAAGAUGAUCUCCACAAAGUUACGGUAAGUGACUUUAACUACAUUGGGUGCGAGUGUGAUCUUCUCUUCUGCUUUCCCAGCUGGAGGUUCAUAUUCAUCCUUCAUAAGGUCAUAUUUGAAGAUCUUAUCUUCAACACCAUAGUAUUCAACCAACUUAAUUGGGGUUGUAGGGUUCACAUGUGAGACACCAUUGAUGGCAUAUCGGAGCUUUCCGUCCACAGUCCCGGCUGUAUUCACAAGUUUGAUGGUGCGUGUAAUGUUGAUUUGGCCGUAGUGGUAUGAUCCUUGUGGAUUAGGUCUAGCUGCACUUGCCG
This 566-nucleotide long non-coding RNA is filed under the name Solanum tuberosum (potato). RNAcentral's name for it is "long non-coding RNA (STUB_LNC003550)". Lineage: Eukaryota; Viridiplantae; Streptophyta; Magnoliopsida; Solanales; Solanaceae. The record is from RNAcentral.